ACAGUUUAGUAAGGGUCCAAAUCCUAAAGAUUCAUUGGAAAAAGAUGCGCUUGUAAGGCAGAUGGGUGUGACCCCAUUAAGUCAAAAUCCCAACUUAUUCAAAGAUUUGCUAGGCUGAAAUCAGACGUGCUGGAGUUCGAAUCUGUAAUGUUUAGAGUGAUUGCUAAUAUGCUAUAUGAUUUCUACAUGGAGAAGUGUUCGGCUAUCCUAUACGCAGUCAUUCAAUGAUAGGGCUUAUACUAUUUAAAAAGCAGAACUGUAGAGUUCCACAAAAUGGAAUGAUGCAGCCUCCCUCCGGCCUCCGUGGUGCUAAAAUCAGGUACGGAUUGUAUUUGUUGCGGC
RNAcentral lists this unclassified non-coding RNA (342 nucleotides) under Hevea brasiliensis (rubber tree). Lineage: Eukaryota; Viridiplantae; Streptophyta; Magnoliopsida; Malpighiales; Euphorbiaceae. The record is from RNAcentral.